RNAcentral lists this long non-coding RNA (4029 nucleotides) under Ananas comosus (pineapple). RNAcentral's name for it is "long non-coding RNA (ACOM_LNC039712)". Lineage: Eukaryota; Viridiplantae; Streptophyta; Magnoliopsida; Poales; Bromeliaceae. The record is from RNAcentral.
UUGACGCCUUCGGCCUUUCCAAAGCGUACCAACCUCGCUCUUUGGUCAAUUUGACCAAGGUUCGAUACUUGGUUACUGAAAUUUCGGUAUAUUACAUACCCACUCGAUAACUAGCCGAUCCCGGACGAAGUCCAACUCUCGGCUCUCGAGAAUUCACUUCGUUACAACCAUACUGUACCAGUACACCCCUGGUGUUAAACUGGUAACACAUAUUCCAGGAUUUCGGUUUUGCAUCGCUUCGACACCAAUUCAUGCCGAGCAACGCUAAAACUAUUCUAACUCUUUUAGAACUCAAUUCUAACCCUUCCAACAAUAUUGGAAUGUCAAUUGGACUUUGUCCAACUACUUCUCUCGACGCACUUUGGUCAAUUUGACCAAAAGUGAUCUAACACGAUGAGGAUUCCUUUAAUUUCUCAAAGAUCAUGAGAGACGCCAAAACUCGUGUAGUUCCCAAUCUCCGCACGCCUCAAAUUGCCCAGGGACACCACUUGGCCCAUCCCGCGCCGAUCUAAAAGAAGAUCGCCUACGCGGUGCUAUCGCUUCCUAAAACGCGACAACUCUCCGAAUUUUCUGCUAAUUUAUCUGUCCCGUUUCCAACAGAAAAUUCUAGAUCUUCUGUUUUCAUUCCGAUUUCAGCACAAGUCACUUCUGACUUAUAUUUUACUCCUACAAAUCCAAUAAAAAUAGUUUCUCACACUAUUUUUAUUUAUUUUUAUUUUUAUACUAAAAUCUGGUAUGUUACAUUCUCCACCCCUUAAAAGAAUUUCGUCCGCGAAAUUCAAACAACACCUCAAUUCAGCUCCUCGAGCAAUUGAGGGUACUAACUCAUUCUUCCACUCCAGAGCGGCUCCACACCAUCGUGUUUGAGAAGCGGCUCAUUCUAAGGGACAUGGGUUUGAUAUUAAACACAUUUGCAAAAGGUGAUACAAAAGUGCAUCACGGGUCUUGCAAGUCAUAGUGGCUGCGCAAGUCGGUGCUCGACGACUCUACACGCUCCAACACCACUCACCAUUCGAUACACAAAGAACUCUUCUUUGCACUUACCUUCCCUUCAGGGAAUACAUUCUGAUUCGAUCACCGACAUUGCUUAGGAGCAAUGUCACCGAUGCAUCGCUCCGUUAUGAGUGCUCUAAUUUCGCACUGACCAUUAACUUUAACGUGAGAUGGCCCACUUCGGCACCUCUCAAGUCUUAGUUCGCUUACGAGCAUAAUCUCCAACAUCACGUGGCUUUCCACUCGUUUGAUGUCUCACAAUGAGUACUUCAUCAUCUGAUAUCACAUGCCACGAUUAACAUCAAACUAUUUUUGCAAUGAGCUCACACGAGCGCUUCGUUCGUGAAUUCGAGUCAAACCCCUCGAUAAGGUUAUCUGCCAAAUCGCUCUCUUCAGUCUCCACAGGUGGACCAAAGGCCACCAAUCCUACGUAGGCCUACGUCUAAACCUAUCUCAAUACGCAGCGUCUCUCGCUCGCAAAUGCAGACCCAAUCAUGAUCGGGCGAAAUUCUCACUUGGGAAUUUGCACACACUCCAACCAGGAGCAACUAAGACCCCAAACCACGUCAAGUCCUUGGGUUGGGUCACAACCAUACUUGGUGUACCAUCGGUCACACAAUCUAUCACGUGGCAUUCCACGCUCCCGGGUCUAAGCUUGGACUACCGUCCUGACCAGAACUCUGCCCUACCCGUAAGUACCGGGCCGCUGUCACUCACAGCUGACUACGCCUGCCCAAAGGGCCCAGGCUCCGCAGUCCACUAAUGGUCCAGGCACGGGUCGUCCCCAAGCACUACCCGCCGUCGUCGUCCUACACGACAUACUCUACCGAGUCACACGUACCAAUAUCGGCUCCUAUGCACCUAGUGCGAGUCACCAGUCCCACGAGUGAUCCAUGGCACGCUUCACACCUAGCAAUGCUCAAGUGCUACUGCCAAUACACUCUCUCGGCUGAAUCCACAUCCGCACUCUACGGGUAUCUACACUCGAGCGCUCUACGCCUCUACAGCGUUCCACACGAAGUCCAGCAUUAGGCAAUCUUGCCUAUGCACACCGGCCGCACGAGCACAACCGCCUACCUCACCUUGAGGUACUACUAGGCCCACGUGCUCAAACUUGGCCACUAAUCGACCGUUCUCUCAACAGUGAUGCUACUUUCACUGUUCGAUCUACCGGAAUGACAUCCGAAAUUUUCGGACCACUCGGGUGUUCUCAUAAGCAUCAUGGCUCAACUCUCGCAAUUUACUACUCAUAUUGCUCUGAGAGUCAUUUCGCCACUUCUAUCUCUACCGCGAGUCUCACUUCUCGCCAUAGAUUACUUCUAGCACUUCGCUAGUGCCAUCUGGCUCUAUACCUGUACUGGCAGGUACUACGCCCUCACAUAAUACAAAACUCCAUUUCUAGAGCAAUCAAAUCUAUCUCUAGAAAUCCACCAUGAGAGAGAGCUUAGAAGCUUACCUCUCCAAGAAGCUCCAACCAAGGAGAAGAUGAAGAAGAUGAGGAAGACCUCCUUCUCCUUCUCUUUCUUUCCUUUCCUUUCUUCUUCCUCUUCUUGUCUUCUAGAGAGAGAAAGAGAGAUAUGAGAGGGUGUGUGGGUGAGAAAUAAGAGAAAAGAGCUCUCAUACCCCUCACAUAGCCCCACAUGUUGCAUAAGUGCAAACAAGCCCCUCAACUUUUAUUCUUUUACAUUGCCCUCACUGGGCCACUUUCGGGUUCGGGGACCGGUCUCCCCGACGAGGGACCGGUCUCCGAGAGCUUCUCCCCGCAGUCAGCAGAGCUCACACCCGAUGCAACCGGUCUUUCUUUGGGGGACCGGUCUCUCAGGGACCGGUCUCUCCAGCAGGGACCGGUCUCCGAGAGCUGUCCACCAAGGACUUAGCCGAUUUUUCUCUCCUCUUGCUGCCUGCGCGUUCGGGGACCGGUCUCUCCCCACAGGGACCGGUCUCCGAGAACAGAAAACCUGCAGUUUGCAGAUUUUCAUUUCCAAGGCUCUCGAAGAUCCCCAGUAAUGCACUUUUGCAUUAUUUGACGCCUUCGGCCUUUCCAAAGCGUACCAACCUCGCUCUUUGGUCAAUUUGACCAAGGUUCGAUACUUGGUUACCGAAAUUUCGGUAUAUUACAUACCCACUCGACAACUAGUCGAUCCUGGACGAAGUCCAACCCUCGGCUUUCGAGAAUUCACUUCGUUACAACCAUGCUGUACCGGUACACCCCUGGUGUUAAACCGGUAACACAUGUUCCAGAAUUUCGAUUUUGCAUCGCUUCGACUCCGAUUCGUGCCGAGCAACGCCAAAACCCUUCUAACUCUUUUAGAACUCAAUUCCAACCCUUCCAACAUUGUUGGAAUGUAAAUUGGAUUUUGUCCAACUACUUCUCUCGACGCACUUUGGCCAACUUGACCAAAAGUGAUCUAACACGAUAAGGAUUCCGUUAAUUUCUCAAAGGUCACAAGGGCCGCCAAAACUCGCGAAGUUCCAAGUCUCCGCUCGCCUCAAAUUGCCCAGGGACACCACUUGGCCCAUCCCGCGCCGAUCUAAAAGAAGAUCGCCUACGCGGUGCUAUCGCUUCCUAAAACGCGACAACUCUAUUAAUCCUCGACCUUCUAGGUCGAACACGAAACACUUAAUACCGACUCAAAUCGGGCGAAAGUCACGCAAAGGCGUCUACUCUCAUCACUCGGCUUCAUGUUGUGUGCACCCAACAUGAACACCCUCUGUUGAGAAUAAACCUCACCUUGAGUCUACCUCUAACAUCCGUUUUAGAGGUUUAUGACAUAACCCAAUCAAUUAACCUUUCGCCAAAAGAAACAACUUCUCGUCUCUCACGAGCCUUAAUCUCCUAUGGUUCACUAUCCUAGGGUCUCCUAGGUCCAAUUAAACCAUUUUCUAUUAUUCUUUUUAUGUUCCUUUUAUGCUCUGAUACCAUCUUAUCUGUCACGCCCCGCGACCGCCCGCCUAUUUGGCCGGGUCGCGGCACCGCCAACAGAUCGCCGAACGGACAGGGUUUCCCCUAUACUGCGGACAGAGUCUCCCCUGUAC